This 401-nucleotide ribosomal RNA is filed under the name uncultured bacterium. RNAcentral's name for it is "bacterial SSU rRNA". It matches the Rfam family "Bacterial small subunit ribosomal RNA", at positions 77 to 474 of the family's 1533-position model. The record is from RNAcentral.
UUGCUAGGUGGGUGGCGAGUGGCGCACGGGUGAGUAACGCGUAGGAAUAUGCCUUAAAGAGGGGGAUAACUUGGGGAAACUCAAGCUAAUACCGCAUAAACUCUGAGGAGCGAAGCUGGGGACCUUAGGGCCUGGCGCUUUAAGAACAGCCUGCGUCCGAUUAGCUAGUUGGUGGGGUAAAGGCCUACCAAGGCGACGAUCGGUAGCUGGUCUGAGAGGAUGAUCAGCCACACUGGGACUGAGACACGGCCCAGACUCCUACGGGAGGCAGCAGUGGGGAAUAUUGGACAAUGGGGGCAACCCUGAUCCAGCAAUGCCGCGUGUGUGAAGAAGGCCUGAGGGUUGUAAAGCACUUUCAGUGGGGAGGAGGAUUGAUAGGUUAAGAGCUAAUUAAUUGGACG